UUACGGCCAUAUCACGUAGAACACACCGGUUCUCGUCCGAUUACCGAAGUUAAACAAUGUCGAGCCUGGUCAGUACUUAGAUGGGUGACCGCUUGGGAAUAUCAUGUGCUGUAG
RNAcentral lists this ribosomal RNA (114 nucleotides) under Acanthosepion pharaonis. Lineage: Eukaryota; Metazoa; Mollusca; Cephalopoda; Sepiida; Sepiidae. The record is from RNAcentral.